This 443-nucleotide ribosomal RNA is filed under the name uncultured bacterium. RNAcentral's name for it is "bacterial SSU rRNA". It matches the Rfam family "Bacterial small subunit ribosomal RNA", at positions 29 to 517 of the family's 1533-position model. The record is from RNAcentral.
AACGAACGCUGGCGGCAUGCCUAACACAUGCAAGUCGAACGAAGUCUUCGGACUUAGUGGCGCACGGGUGCGUAACGCGUGGGAAUCUGCCCUUGGGUGCGGAAUAACUUCUCGAAAGGGAUGCUAAUACCGCAUAAUGUCGUAAGACCAAAGAUUUAUCGCCCAAGGAUGAGCCCGCGUAAGAUUAGCUAGUUGGUGGGGUAAAAGCCUACCAAGGCGACGAUCUUUAGCUGGUCUGAGAGGAUGAUCAGCCACACUGGGACUGAGACACGGCCCAGACUCCUACGGGAGGCAGCAGUGGGGAAUAUUGGACAAUGGGCGAAAGCCUGAUCCAGCAAUGCCGCGUGAGUGAUGAAGGCCCUAGGGUUGUAAAGCUCUUUUACCCGAGAUGAUAAUGACAGUAUCGGGAGAAUAAGCUCCGGCUAACUCCGUGCCAGCAGCCG